GAUGAACGCUGGCGGCGUGCCUAAUACAUGCAAGUCGAGCGAACAGACGAGGAGCUUGCUCCUCUGACGUUAGCGGCGGACGGGUGAGUAACACGUGGAUAACCUACCUAUAAGACUGGGAUAACUUCGGGAAACCGGAGCUAAUACCGGAUAAUAUAUUGAACCGCAUGGUUCAAUAGUGAAAGACGGUUUUGCUGUCACUUAUAGAUAGAUCCGCGCCGCAUUAGCUAGUUGGUAAGGUAACGGCUUACCAAGGCAACGAUGCGUAGCCGACCUGAGAGGGUGAUCGGCCACACUGGAACUGAGACACGGUCCAGACUCCUACGGGAGGCAGCAGUAGGGAAUCUUCCGCAAUGGGCGAAAGCCUGACGGAGCAACGCCGCGUGAGUGAUGAAGGUCUUCGGAUCGUAAAACUCUGUUAUUAGGGAAGAACAAAUGUGUAAGUAACUAUGCACGUCUUGACGGUACCGAAUCAGAAAGCCACGGCUACUACGUG
Molecule: ribosomal RNA, 496 nt
Filed under: uncultured bacterium
Lineage: Bacteria
Description: partial 16S ribosomal RNA
Rfam family: Bacterial small subunit ribosomal RNA
Source: RNAcentral